AUUGAACGCUGGCGGAAUGCUUUACACAUGCAAGGUCGAACGGUAGAGGGGGCAACCCUUGAGAGUGGCGAACGGGUGAGUAAUAUAUCGGAACGUGCCCAGUCGUGGGGGAUAACGUAGCGAAAGUUACGCUAAUACCGCAUACGAUCUACGGAUGAAAGCGGGGGACUCGCAAGAGCCUCGCGCGAUUGGAGCGGCCGAUAUCUGAUUAGCUAGUUGGUGGGGUAAAGGCCUACCAAGGCAUCGAUCAGUAGCUGGUCUGAGAGGACGACCAGCCACACUGGAACUGAGACACGGUCCAGACUCCUACGGGAGGCAGCAGUGGGGAAUUUUGGACAAUGGGGCAACCUGAUCCAGCAAUGCCGCGUGAGUGAAGAAGGCCUUCGGGUUGUAAAGCUCUUUUGUCAGGGAAGAAACGGUGAGGGCUAAUAUCCUUUGCUAAUGACGGUACCUGAAGAAUAAGCACCGGCUAACUACGUG
Molecule: ribosomal RNA, 480 nt
Filed under: uncultured bacterium
Lineage: Bacteria
Description: bacterial SSU rRNA
Rfam family: Bacterial small subunit ribosomal RNA
Source: RNAcentral